CAUCUCGGGCGCACGCGCUACCCGGCAAGUCAGCGACCACUGCUUCGCUAUCUUCCUCUAAAAAAGGACUUAUCCCGAUCUCCUUUUCCGCUUCUCUGGUAUAGUCCAAGAGUAGUGAGGUAGCGACGACGAAGAAGGCCGCCGGCGUCGAUCCUUGAGAGGUUAAUGGGGAGGCGGUAGACCAGAGAGCCUCUGCAGCCAGUCUACCGCGGAGACAGAGUAAUUUCCAUCUCCCCUACUACCUCUCUUCCUCUCCUCAUCUCCUACCCUCUCUUUCUUCCAUCGCCUGGGAGGGAGAUCGACGAGGUCCUGAUCUACCAUGGCAGCAGUCACCCGUACCUCCGAGCUUGGCAACCAACCAUGGAGGUUCCUCUGCUCCAACCCUAGUACCAUGGGGCAAGUCAAGGGCCUGGAAACAAGGGGGAGGUGCGGAUGUUGUACUCCGCUGAGUGGCUUCUCUUGUGACGGCGUCACACCUGAUAUGGGGAUUGAAGGGGGGUUGGGCAGCAUUGGAUUCAGAAGGCGACUUUCCACUCCAAGAAUAGAAUGGUUACUUGGAUUUCGUUAAAAGAGUUGCAUUUUGUGUGUGUACCGCAGUUGCUUAGUUUUGUUGGGGCAGUUGCUCGGAUUCGAUUUUGAACAUUUGCUACAUUUCUGCCUUUUGUAAUGCAGUUGCUUGGUUUUCCUAGGACAAUUGCUUCCUUUUUACUAGAAUAGUUUUGCAUUUUGCGUUUUUUAAUUGAGUUGCUUGGAUUUUUUCUAGGCUAGAUGAGAAGUUGCAUGGGGAGGGGGGUCAGAUAGUUUUCCACAAAGGUUAUUCAAGUUUCUCACACCUUUUUCUCCCUAAAGUAGUAGAUAAUGUAAGUAGUAAUGCUAUUCCUGGUUGCAUGUGUUAGUUAAGAAUUUCCCACAGUUGUCCACAAUCAACCGUACAGUUGUCCAAAACCAUGUAUCCAGUUGCCCACAAUCAACCAUGCACUUGUCUAAAACCAUGUAUCCAGUUGCCCAAUCCUCAUGAGCAAUAACAUUACCAAGACCAUAAUUUGGCUAAUAUGCAAAGGUUUUAGAUACCUUUCAAGUUUGUGUCAUAGAGAUGUGUCAAGAAUUUAUCUCCUCGGGGUGGGAUCCCUUUGGUAUGAUCGUAAAUAAUUGGCGAUAAUCAUACAUGUGAAGCAGGGUGGAGUUGGUCAUGGGGACAUAACUAAAACCGCGAUCCUCCUCCUAGUCCCAGUCGUGCUCCUCCUCCCCCCAGCUACACGGCUAUCGCCCCGAUCCUCCUCUCGUCGACGCGCUCCAUGCGAAGCACAACACCGCCCCCACCCUCCACCCUAAAGUAGAUGCUAGGGGAGUUGCUUGAUUUUUCUAGGAAAAUUGCUUGGUUUUGCUAGGGUAGUUGCUUGUUUUUCUUGCUAGAACAAUUUUUGCAUUGUGUGUCCUUUUGUAGUUGAGUUGUUUGGAUUUUUUCUAGAACAAAUGAGAAGUUACAAGGGGGGGGGGGGGGGUAAGAUAGUUGUCCACAAAGUUUAUUCAACUUACUCAUAUGUUUUCUGCCUAAAAUUGACAAUCUAAGUAGUAGUGCCAGGGACAUCUGCUUGUUUCUGCUACAACAGUUUCCCACUUUUUGUGUUUCUUUGUAAUUGAGUUGCUUUGAUCUUCUGCUACAACAUACGAGAAGGUGGAUGAGAGGGGAGUUGCUUGGUUUUGUUAGGAUUUUUUUCAUAAAAGUCUAUUCAAGUUACUCAUACUUUUUUUUUCUCUGCCUAAAAUAGAUGCUAGGGGAGUUGCUUGGUUUUGCUAGGACAACUGCUUGGUUUUGCUAGGGCAAUUGCUUGCUUUUUUCCUAGAACAGUUUUGCAUUUUGUGUUUUUAUAUUGAGUUACAAGUAAAAGGGACGCUCAACCUGAUGCUUCACAGGGCGGAAUGGUGGAUCAACAGGAGGUACCCAUGGUUUUUCCAGAUUUUUUUUUGAUGAAACGAUGAAGAUGAAGAAGGAAGGCAACCGGAACGGGCGUAGAGAGGUGGAUAGGAAGUAAUUCUAAAAACAAUAUUGUAUUAGUAGAUUAAGUUGCAUCGGAAUAUAUAUAUGGAGAUGGUCAGUUCAUAUCAACAGUUGCAUAAAAUUGCCUGGAACACAUUUUUGUUUCUUUAAAUAGUUGCUCAUGAAUCACACUACAAUUGCCUAUGUUAAAGAAUAUAUAUACAUUAGUGCCACCGA
Molecule: long non-coding RNA, 2215 nt
Organism: Triticum dicoccoides
Lineage: Eukaryota; Viridiplantae; Streptophyta; Magnoliopsida; Poales; Poaceae
Exons: 2
Source: RefSeq, a predicted model, not a curated record